This 429-nucleotide ribosomal RNA is filed under the name Chloroflexota bacterium. RNAcentral describes it as "Chloroflexi bacterium partial 16S ribosomal RNA". It matches the Rfam family "Bacterial small subunit ribosomal RNA", at positions 355 to 776 of the family's 1533-position model. Lineage: Bacteria; Bacillati; Chloroflexota. The record is from RNAcentral.
UGGGGAAUAUUGCACAAUGGGCGCAAGCCUGAUGCAGCCAUGCCGCGUGUGUGAAGAAGGCCUUCGGGUUGUAAAGCACUUUCAGCGGGGAGGAAGGCGUUAAGGUUAAUAACCUUGGCGAUUGACGUUACCCGCAGAAGAAGCACCGGCUAACUCCGUGCCAGCAGCCGCGGUAAUACGGAGGGUGCAAGCGUUAAUCGGAAUUACUGGGCGUAAAGCGCACGCAGGCGGUCUGUCAAGUCGGAUGUGAAAUCCCCGGGCUCAACCUGGGGACUGCAUUCGAAACUGGCAGGCUAGAGUCGUGUAGAGGGGGGUAGAAUUCCAGGUGUAGCGGUGAAAUGCGUAGAGAUCUGGAGGAAUACCGGUGGCGAAGGCGGCCCCCUGGACAAAGACUGACGCUCAGGUGCGAAAGCGUGGGGAGCAAACAGG